RNAcentral lists this long non-coding RNA (1055 nucleotides) under Homo sapiens (human). RNAcentral's name for it is "HSALNT0350851". The record is from RNAcentral. Lineage: Eukaryota; Metazoa; Chordata; Mammalia; Primates; Hominidae.
AAAAUGGGCUUCAGAGUCUGAUGGAUCUGGGUGACUGGGCAAGUUCUUUAGCUUGUCAAACCUUCAUUUCUCUAAUUUAUAACAUAAGGACAGUACCUUCUUCCUGUCAAGGUUGAGGCAAGCAUUAGUGAGAAACGUCUCAAGGCCUGGUUCACAGUCAAAAAAGAGAGAAAACAUCACUGUUCUCUUCAGCAGAACUUUUGUCAGUGUGAUCGAGAAUUGUCUCAAGUGACAAGUGAGCUGACCAGGGAACCCUGGGUGGCAGGUACUAUUGGCACCAUUUUCCAGAUAAAGAAAAUGAAGUUCUAAGCAGUCAAAUGACAUGUCAAGAUCACCCAACUGAGACUACUGCCCUUCAUUGAUUGAUGUCCGGUGCCUGGAAAGCCAUGGUUUUAUGCAGUUUGUGGAUUUUUUAUUUUUUUUCUUUAUUUGAAAUGGGAAGGAUCACAUUACAUCGAACAGAAACUGUUUUACCUUGCUUGCAAGGAGGUGGAGGCCUCCUUGCCCCCAAGUGUGGUGCCACUUCCGGGUUCCUUGAGCACUUCCAGGUUAUCAGCCCAGCUCUCCUCCAGUUUCUGGGGCUGCUGAAGAAGCUGUUGGGGAAAUUCUGGAGGCUGGGAAGUCCAAGAUCAAAGUGCCAGCAGAUCAGUAACUGGACCUGGAGUCAGCCUGUGAACCACCUUUUUUGGUAUUUCACAUGGCAGCAAUCUCCUUAGCCCUGUGUUUUUGGAAUCCUUUCUGGAAAAUGCAAGAGGAAGAGGAGACGAUGAUUUAAGUGUCAUUUCAAUCUUUGUGCAAGCCCCCUACCCAUCUCUUAGAACUUCUUGAAGCUGUUUGCUUUUGUCUUAUGUAGCUAACAGUACUUCUUUGGACUCUGUGGCCUAAGGCCUCUUUUUGAUGCUUAUUUUAACCAAAUUUUACCUAUCUAAUGACUUGGUCCCUACCUAAAGUCUUAGUCUUUUUCUAGGCUCUAAAGCCAAUGCAGUCUUUGACUGGUUUAGCUUAAGUUUCUCAAAAUAAGGUCUUUUUGUUGCCAUUUGAGAUCUGACUCUGUG